AGAUCAAAAUGGAUAGCUUUCAGUUUCAGCAAAACCAAAAUAACGGAGGUUUCCAGCCAAAUAUGCAAAAUAUUCAAGGCUUCAACUCAUUACCGCCUUUUCCACAGCAGGUCAAUAAUCCUCCGCCACCAUUUCAACCAAUUAUGUCUAAUCCGCCCUUUGCACCCACGAUGACAACGAAUGGAACACACGCGAGUGCAAUGGUUGGACUACCUUCUCAAGUGGUCACACCAACUCCUCAAAACGGGCAAGCCCCUCUUGUCAUGGACGAUAGUGCCGCUGCAAUUGCGACGAAAAGAAACUAUCGACAGUACAUGAACCGCAAAGGUGGCUUUAAUCGGCCGUUGGAUUUUGUUGCUUGAACUCUCGUCAUUUUCUUAACGACGUUGGAAAACAAGGAAUGGAGACGAUAUGCAGAUGGAAGACGUUGUUUUUCGAAGAAGUUAUAUCUCUUGAAGCUAGUUUAUCAGCUGAAAGUUUUUAGUAUCAGUGAUUUGUUAUGUGCAAUUUUAUUUUUCUAAAAAUCGAAUUGUUUAUAAAAACAACAAUGAUAUCCGGUUGCUAUGAAAGUUGCACAGAAUGGUCCGACCACAUUGAUUGAAGGACAAUUUUUUAAAUAA
Long non-coding RNA from Symsagittifera roscoffensis, 620 nucleotides. RefSeq lists it as uncharacterized. The record is from RefSeq and is a predicted model, not a curated record. The transcript has 2 exons. NCBI's taxonomy places the organism in Eukaryota, Metazoa, Xenacoelomorpha, Acoela, Convolutidae.